CAUAAACCCUCAGAGAGUCACC
Molecule: microRNA, 22 nt
Filed under: Macaca mulatta (Rhesus monkey)
Lineage: Eukaryota; Metazoa; Chordata; Mammalia; Primates; Cercopithecidae
Description: Mml-Mir-7172_3p* (star (passenger))
Source: RNAcentral